This 702-nucleotide long non-coding RNA is filed under the name Lepisosteus oculatus (spotted gar). Its description in RNAcentral is "lncRNA (ENSLOCG00000022972.1)". The record is from RNAcentral. Lineage: Eukaryota; Metazoa; Chordata; Actinopteri; Semionotiformes; Lepisosteidae.
UUGAAUGACAGGCCCGGCCGGAACCUGAUUUAAUCUUGAUUCGUACUUGUUUUAUUUUCCACCCUCCUAAGAAACGCCGACGUGUCCCGGCAACCCGCCCACCUGCAGAAGCCUUCGUCCAUCCAUUGACUGGUUGCAAGGCUCCACGGAGCACCAGAGGGGAGAAGGAGGGCGUAGCUGCAGACUGGUCGUCCCAUCUGGUCCACCCGGGCUGCGUCUCCACCAGAUUGGACGCAGCAGCUGAGAAGCGUCCGUCUCACAGCUCAGCCCCGGCGAGCAGGCGAGAGAGCAGCGCAUCUCGCUGCCAGGCUGCCGGAGGAGUCGCCUGUUGCCAGCAUGGUGGGGGGACCCCCAGCCGGCUUCGUCUCAGCCUGCUGCCCGCAGCGGCGCCAUGCCGGUCAGCUGCUGGCGGCCCCCGGGGUUCGUCCUGCUGGUGCUGGGGGUCAGAGCUGGUCUCAGGUCUCUCUGGCCUCUGACAACGGGUUUAAAACAGCGAACAACAGGACCAACGUGCUCUGGCACGUCUAUCGCUGUCACCGCGGUGUCCGGCCGCUGGAAAUCCGGGCGGAAUGCAAGCCGAAUCCUUAUCCUGCCGCGCGAGAGGCCGGGAAGCCCAGCAGCCAAGCAUUAGGAAGAGGAGGACAGCACAUGAGGCGACCAUGUGUGUUGACACGUAUGCUUCCUCUGAGGAAUCUCCUGUAA